Molecule: ribosomal RNA, 395 nt
Filed under: uncultured bacterium
Lineage: Bacteria
Description: partial 16S ribosomal RNA
Rfam family: Bacterial small subunit ribosomal RNA
Source: RNAcentral
CCUACGGGUGGCAGCAGUGAGGAAUAUUGGUCAAUGGGCGCGAGCCUGAACCAGCCAAGUAGCGUGAAGGAUGACUGCCCUACGGGUUGUAAACCUCUUUUAUAAAGGAAUAAAGUGAGGCACGUGUGCCGUUUCGUAGGUACUUUAUGAAUAAGGAUCGGCUAACUCCGUUCCAGCAGCCGCGGUAAUACGGAGGGUCCGAGCGUUUUCCGGAUUUCUUGGGGUUAAAGGGAGCGUAGAUGGGUGGUUAAGGCAAUUGUGAAAGUUGGCGGGUCAAACGUAUAAUUGCCAUUGAAACUGGCAGUCUUGAGUAGAGUAGAGGUAGGCGGAAUGCGUGGUGUAGCGGUGAAAUGCUUAGAUAUCACGAAGAACUCCGAUUGCGAAGGCAGCAUACU